ACAAGUCCAAUAAGCUUCCUCCACUUGGGAGUGUAGCAGCUCUACAAGUUCUUCAUUUGAAAAGAUUGAAAAAACUGGAAAGCUUGUGCAGUGGUGGUACAUUCUUUCACUUUCCUAAUCUGAAGGAGCUUACGCUGGAAGACCUGCCGGAAUUUGAUAGAUGGUGUGAAGUAAACUGGGUCCAAGGAGAACAGAUAAUGUUUCCUCAACUUGAGAAAUUGUUUAUUACAAAUUGUGGAAAGGUUACAGCAUUACCAGGGCCAGCACUUCUCGGAGGAUCGUGCUGUGGAGAUUCCAAGGAGCAAGACGAGAGGAAGCUUUGGUCGGCAUUUCCAGUCCUGAAGGUACUCAAAUUACAAUGCUUAGCAAAGUUUCAGAGGUGGGGGGGCGCUGCUGAAGCAACUCAAGGGCAGCAGAUAAUAUUUCCUCAGCUUGAAAAGUUAUCAAUCAAAAAGUGCCCCGAACUGGCAGCAUUACCAUCAGCUACAUCUCAGGGAGUAUCAUUUGACCAUAGUGAUGUUACAGCAUGGUCAGCAUUUCCAAACUUAAAGAAGCUCUUGUUAGAAGACUUAGAAAGUUUUAAGAGCUUGGGGAUGACGGAAGCAACUCAUGGUGAACAGCAGAGAUUCUCUGACCUUGAGACUCUGGGUGUUAAGAAAUGUCCGAAGUUGACAAUUCAACCGGGGGUGAUAGAAGCACCAAAGCUCGGUGUAUUAGAAAUAAAUGGCAGCCAACUGACAGCAAUAAUAGUGCCUACAGUUAUUAACUCAUUGUCCGAACUGGUGUUAUCAGUCGAAGACACAGAAACUACUUUACCAACUGUGCAUGGUGCCUUUGAGCUGGUGGACGCCAGUAAUAAAUACCCUCUGACACAUCUGGAGCUAAGCGGCUGCAACUUUCUGUUCCCCUCAAGUCCACUGGCACUAUGGGCAUGUUUUGUCCAGCUGCAAGAUUUGAAAAUUGAGAAGAUCAACCAUGCGCUUGUCUACUGGCCAGAAAAAGAGUUCCAGAGCUUGGUAUCCUUGCGGCACCUUACCAUUUGGAAGUGCAGUGGUCUGAUUGGGUACGUGAAAGCCGCUCCUAGCCAACCAAUAUCAGAAAGGAGCCAAGUUCUCCCCCGUCUCGAGUCUCUACGCAUACGGGAUUGUGAAAGUCUGGUAGAGGUCUUCAACGUCCCCGCAUCUCUCAAGACGAUGGAUUUGCACGACUGCCCUAAGCUUAAGUCCAUAUUCGGAGAGCUACAGGACGAGCCAACAUUCAAUCAAGGGCCCAGCGCUGCACCGAAGCUGUCAUCAUCGGCCUGGGAUCACUUACUUCCAUGUCUUGAAUCUCUAAAUAUACGGCAGUGCGAAAGCUUGUCAGAGGUUCUCAACCUUCCCCCAUCCCUCAGGGAAAUAGAUAUUUGGGAAUGCCCAGAGUUGAGAUCAGUCGAAUGUUGCUUGGGAGAGUUUGCAACCCUGGAACGCCUCGUUCUUAGUGAAUGCAAAAGCCUGGCAUCCUUGCCCGAUGGGCCACAAGCAUACUCAUCUCUCCGUCAUCUUCAAAUUACAUCAUGUCCAGGUAUACAAUCGCUUCCUUCAUCCCUGAAGAAGAGACUGGACAACCUCAUUGAUAAAUAUUUGGAUGCUCGUUACGAAGGUACCCAUCAAACUCAUUUGUCGUUUCACCAUCAAAUGCAUAAAUCUGCUCAUGUGUAUUUUCCUCUUCAACCUGAGACCCCGCAUUCUAUAAAUAUAUAUAUACCAGUCGCCUUAAAGCAUCCAUGCAGUAGUUUGGAUGAUAUGGUGUGAUUAUUUUUACAUUAGAGAAAGGUAUUUGCGUCUAUAGACUAUAGCUAGGUGUGAACUGUGCCCAGAAAUUAUUGACAAGGAAUAGUGGAAAGAACUCAGCAAUCACUAAAAAAACAUGAAGAGUGUCCCACAAAGUUACUUUUUCAUGCAGUUGUCAUGGUGGCUUGCUGGUUUCAGCACUUGCACAAUACGAAAUUUAAAAAAUCCAAGUGAUCCCUCCACACUUGGACAAUUAAGAACACGACUAUAGAUUGUUUUCAAUUUGCAUUGAACUGAUAUUUUUCUAUUUCCCUAAUGUUACACAUCAAAUAGAGAUGCCAAGUUGCCAAUGCAACGAAGGUUUUUACUUGUCAAUUUAAUUGAAUUUUGCUGUCUAAAGGACAAAAUGUGGAUUAAAUAAAGAGCUCUUUUACGGUGCACAAUACUACCACGUGGUAGUAUAGAUUAUAAGUACUUUUUUAGCAUGGGCAAAAUUGUAAUUAGCACGCAUAUAUUAUUUGGAGAUUUUUUUCCGCGAGCCCUUCUCCCCACGCGCCGCCAGUCCCCCACGUCCGCGCCUGGGCGCACCCGCGCCCCCGGAACCCUCGGCGGCCGAUGCUGACACUGACGACUUCCUGCCGGCUGAGGCUGCGCGUGGCGGUGACGUGCUGUUUGAGCUUCACUCCCACUCAAACCACAGUGACGGCUUCCUCUCCCCCACCGCGCUCGUCGAGCGCGCCCACCGCAAUGGGGUAAGUGGAUGAAUCCUAAAUGGCCUCUAGUCCGUUUGCCUGCUAGGUGUUUGAGGAAAUGCUUGUGACGUUUGUUCGGCGGCGUUGUACUGUGCUUUGUGGAAUUCGACUUCGAUGGCCUCAUCGUCUUUAGCUGUGGUGCUUAACCGAGCAUUGCGUUUGUUGUACCUGCCAGUGUGCCGUGUGCGUAGCUGUUCCCCGUCUUAUAGGACUGUUCCCCGUCUUAGUAUCUGGAUGAAAGUGCUGUACUGGUGACUACAGUAUCUAACAGGGAAGCAGUUUCCUUGGAUGUUUCAACUCCCCUCUGAUGAUCGGUUUGUUUAAAUUUGAAUGAAGCUGUCAUCUUCUGGCACGCAUUGGUUAGUUCAGACGGUGUAUUGCUUAGCUAAUUGCUGCUGAAAAAAAUGAUUGAGAUGCACUAGUGCCUGUUUCCCCUUGAAAUGUUUUAUGGAUUAUAUACCAUAACCUACCUCCUAAAGUUUCGGUAUGGUUGUGUGCUGUUUAAAAGUUAUAUAUUGAUGGGCACAUAUUACAAAUCUUGGAGUGUCUAAACUAUAUAUGUUUGUGGCGUAGGUGAAAGUUCUUUCCCUAACAGAUCACGACACUAUGGCUGGCAUACCAGAAGCUGUUUCAGCAGCUUCCAAGUUCGGCAUUAGAAUAAUUCCUGGAGUUGAAAUCAGUGCGCUGUAUAAUCCAAGGUAAGUGCCCUUUAGCUUUUAGAGAAGAGAGCUUUCUGUGUUUUGAAUAAAAAUCAUCAAUUGCAUGCAGCUUAAUGAAUCAAGCAUCCUAUUGUUGCGGACUCUCAUAAAUAGAUCUGCAAUAUUGUUUUAAUGCUCCAUUGCCUGUCUAAUAAAAUGAUACUGUAAACAACAUUUAAGCAGUUGUAUUAUGACUAGGGAUAUUUCAUAUGAUGAUUCAUUAUAUUAUGAAUUUCAUUUUCUAUAAGGGAAGGUGCCGGUGCUGGUGAGCCUGUUCAUAUCCUUGCAUACUAUGGUACAUGCGGUCCAUCAAGAUAUGAUGAGUUGUACAGCAUGCUAUUGAACAUCAGAGAUGGGAGAUACUUACGUGCAAAGAAUAUGCUGGCAAAGCUAAAUAGACUCAAGGUGACGAUAAAGUGGGAGCAUAUAACUAAAAUUGCUGGUGAGGGAGUGGCAACUGGUCGAUUGCAUGUAGCAAGAUCUUUGUGUUAAUAAUAGGGCCUGUGUUUUUUGCAGAGGAAGUGAACCAUUUGCUGAGACUGUUGUGCAGUCAAUUAGUCGUACUGGGGGUAUAUCUGCACUCGCUCAUCCUUGGACCUUGGUCAUUGAAGAACCCUGAUGCAGUAAUCAGGUCUUUAGGUGCUGGCCUUAAUGGUAUGGAGGUCUACAGAAGUGAUGGAAAGGUUGAUGGUAUGUGUGCUACACACUUACACUUUAUGCACUAUGACUUGAAAUAGAACAGAGGACUCCGGUAGUCCUGUCAUGCGCUAAAAUCUUCCCAGAAGAGUGCGGUGUUCCCAUCGCCCAACUGUACCCGGAUGGAAAUUUGGAAGAUUUUACGAAGGGUAUGGUCGUUGUCCACCGUAUUGGCUAGGUGCUUCCAUGGUCGUUGUUCGUCAGUCCUCUUGAACCACAACCAGCGCAAUCGGAGGGCCAGCGAUGCAAUUUUGAGGUUCUGAAUUCCUAGACCACCAAAGAGUUUAGGGCGGCAUGCAAGUGGCCAGGCCACUGCACAUUGCCCUCCAUUGGCUGCCUGCUUACCUGCCCACAGAAAACCCUUUCUAAGUUUGUCGAUUUCAUGAAAUACCCAGGCCGGUAUAUCAAGGGAGAUUAGGUUGUAGGUGCAGGUCGCGGUCAGAACUGAUUGAACCACUGUUAGUCUCCCCGCCUUGUUCAUGAGUUGAGCUUUCCAACUCGGGAUUUUGCUGGCCACCUUGUCGAUCAAGGGUUGGAAGUGGGAUUUCCUCAGUCUUCGAACCGAUAGGGGCAUGCCAAGGUACUGUAUUGGGAACUCUACCACUUGGGCAGGGAAGAUGCUACUAAUUCUCGCGAUUUGCUGAUCAUUGCAAGCAAUUGGGGCGAUGGAGCACUUCUGUAAGUUGGUGUGCAACCCAGAUGCGUUACCAAAGAAGUCGAGAAUCCCCUUGAGGGCAAUCAAAUCCUGGGCCACCGGCUUAGCAAAAAUGAUCACGUCGUCAGCAUACAAAGAGCAUUGGUGACAUAUGGCACUAUCAGCCGGGUGGGAGAGGACUCCCAGUUCCGUAGCCCUCUGAGAAGCCGGUGCAUCACUUCCAUAAUGAGGAUAAAAAGCAUUGGCGAUAGUGGAUCGCCCUGCCGCAGCCCUCUUGCGUUGCGUAUUGACCGACCUGGGGAGCCAUUUAGCAGCACUCUGGUGGUGGCAGUGGAAAUGAGCACGGAGAUCCAAUCCCUCCACUUAAUCCCAAAGCCUCUCGCUUGUAGAACUUGCAGUAGAAAAGGCCAACAGACGGUGUCAAAGGUCUUUGAGAUGUCAAGCUUGAUUAGGAGGCUGGGCUUGUGUUUCCGGUGUAGGGUUUUCGCAGCUAGCUCCACAAACUUAAAAUUAUCAUGGAUUGACCGUCGCUUCACGAACGUGCUCUGGUUAAUGUCCACAAGGUUGUGCAGCUCCUGAACAAGCCAGUUGGCAAGCAGCUUUGCAACUAGCUUCGCGAAGCUGUGCACAAGGCUGAUGGGUCUGAAAUCAGUCGGGGACACAGCGUCUUGCCGUUUCGGUAGCAGAGUGAUUAGGGAGCAAUUCAGGCGGCCAAAUUGGCGCAUGCACCGUGGUAGAGCGCGUCAAAACAUGCAAGAACAUCUCUUUUGAUCACCGGCCAGGUUGCUUUGUAGAAUUGCUCAACUUGUAGAUGAGGUCCUGCAAGUACCCUGUGGUUUGUAGUCAAACUACAGCAUUACUGCUAUUGCAAAGAUUAGGAGAUUUUAUCUCUCUUUUUCUAGGAAUUUUUUUUAAAUAAACUGCAUGAGAAGAAGUGCAAGUAAAUUCACGGAAAAUGUAAAUUCACUGACUGACCGACCAGUCUCGGUGCCUGAGGCGCUGAUGAUCCCUUGCUUCUCCAGGCGCUUCUUCCUGUCCUCCUUGAUGCGCUCCAGCAGCUCGAUGUCGUCGUCCUCCUCGAGCACAAGGGCCCGCGCGGGGCGGUCGGCAGCGAACGGGGAGAACGACGCCGCCAGGGCGGCGAGCACGCAUGACGCCAGGCCGCUCUGUCGGCCGACGACGGCGGCGGCCUCACGCCGGUCCUGGCCUCCGUUGCUGCUGACGCCUCUGAACUUGGCCCAGCAUGCUGCCGCUGGGGGAUGGUGCUGCGCUGGCAGCUCCUGCACCGCAGCCGCCGCCGCCCGUUGCAACCCUAGCGACUGAUUGUAAAUGAAGAACCAUAGCGACCAAUUGGAAAUGAGAAGAUGAAUAAAAGGAAAGGAGAUGAUAAUGAAGAAAGAUUUGAUAUAUUGUAACAAUGCUAAUUUUCAUCUUUCCAAUCAUACCCAUAUACUACCCAUACUACUCAUGCAUAUUAUUACCUAUACUUCAACUUAAAAUUCUAGUAGUAUACAAUUAAUUUGAACUGUCGGAUCCUUACAUACGAGUCCUUUUCAACAAUAGUAUAGGGUAGUAUUAUACACCACAAAAGAGCUCUAAAUAAAAGGUCCCAGGAGCCUACUGUGUGGUACCUUUCUUUUAAUGGUUUUUUUGCUAACUUCACGCCUUUGGAUGCACAAAAAUGUACUAUUUCUGUUUUUGUUUCAGAAAGAACUGGAGUUUUUCUCUUUCCAAUUCGGUAGUUGUAUAUUUUAAUAUGCAUACUCAAAUCUGCUUGACGUACACGUUUUUCAUGUUAUACUCUAGAUUUCUAUUGAUAAAUCCUAACAUCAGCGAUUACCAAGUGCCAAGUUAUUGAAACCAAAGACAUGGAAAUAUGCCAUUCAUUUGUAGAAAUCAGUGAGCUGUCAAAACAUUAAGUAAGGUUAGUAGCAUAAAAAGUUUGGGUUUUUAUUAGAAUCAUUUCAAUUAAUCUAGUAUUGAUUCCAUAUCCUGUCUAUUGUAGGGACAUGUUUGCUUCAUUUACUGUCAGCAUCCAAACCAUAAUAUGGAAAUGCUAUUUUCCUUCUAUGUUGACCAAGGUCUGAGUUACCAUACAGGCUCUGAUGCAAGUUGUUAAAGGCAGUAUAAAUUCUGUACCAGACAUUUAUUUAUAUUUGAUAAUCAUGAGAGAUAUAUUACUAUUUUAUUUUUGCAUCAAAUGGAUGUGGAGGCUGGGAUAUUAAUACUUUCUCCCAUUAAUACAGCUACAUCAUGGCAGUUAUCUCCCUGUGAUUGGAAGAGAGUUCUGCAUUUUGCAUAUCAACUGCAACUAUAUGAUGUUUAUAACUGAGCCUGGAGAGAUAUUAUGCCAUUUCUGUGACCAUUCUCUUCUAUUAUGUCCAUUUCACAUAUUCAAAACAAAAUUUUCCCUUAAUUGACUAUUGUAUUGAAUUGAUAUUUUCCUUUUUUUAGAUAAUACUGAUAUUUUUAACUUGCUUUACUUUCCCUUAACAUGAUUGGAAGUUUAAGACCAUGCCUAAAUUUCAAAUGUGCCUUCCUUUUAGUGCAUUACUUCUUUGGUGACCAAUUAAUGUUUUGACUAGCUGCUACUGAUCAAUUAUUCAUACCUGCCAAAGGACCAAUAACUUCGUGGUGCAGCCAAUUAAAUUGUUACUGAUUUCAUGCUAUCAACAUGGAAAAAGAUACAGUUUGACACCCAGCCACAAUCAAACAAUAACUUAGUAGUUUGAAAUGGUUAUCGCAAUUUGCGAUGCUUUGUGCAGAGAAGAUGACUCUUUGAGGUUAAAGAAGAUUCUACAAAUACCCAGCAAGCUUCAGGAAUGAAUUAUUUCAAGCUGGUGGCAUAAUAGUGCACACGGCGGAUGCAGCAACAGAGGACAACUCUGCUCCCCGGCCCCAGGCGCGCCGCCGAAAUGCCUCGGCACCGCCGCCUCCGACACGGCAAGGGCAGCGGGCGCCACAAGCUGAUGAACCUGCACAGGCAAAAGCCAGAACUGAGGCGUUUGGCUUUGCCGAGAUGGCCACACCCAUGUCUGAACGGGCAAAGGCCCGCCCUCCGGCGGAGCCCGUAGAGCAGGGCGGCCCCGACGACCAAGACGGCCAGACCGCAGGAGGGAGGGCUCGCGGCGUGUUCUCGCCGCAGGACAUCCAGGCGGACGGAGGAGGAUCUUGCGAUGUGUCGGCGACGGGCGCUGAGGAGCAGGCGGGGUCUCAUGGCGCUGUGGGCAACGGGAGGCCGAGGAAGCUGGAAGGAGGGGACAGGGAGAAUGAUGCUGAAGCUGGUGUGGUGCGAGCUGACGAACAAGCGCGGAUUCUGGACCAUGUCUUCUCCAAAGGACGUCAACACCAGGUACAACAGCAACCUCACCUUUGUUCUUCCUCUUCCUGUAAAGGGUCGUGCACACAAGGUGUUCGGUCUUUUGUCGUUGCAAGUUUUGCAAAGGAAAAAGGGGACAGGGGCAUAUCUACUAAUCAAAGUAGACGGCGUUUAACGCUAGCACCACGAUUAGCACCCGCAGAGCAACUUUGCAGCACGAAGAAGGUACAGUCAGUAUUGACCAGGGAAAAUUUUGAAGAUUCAGAAGUUCUAAGGGAAAGAGGAGGAAUGGAAAAGGAGGAACAGAGUGAGAGAGAGAAGAAGCAAUUCAAAAAAUCGCAGGAUCCUUUGCAAGGUCUCCGAAGGAACGAGACUGGCUCUCGAUUCUGGGCCUUAGCAAAUGAGGACAGUUCUGACGAGGAGGAGGAAAGGGAGGAAGAAAGUGAUAAGAUGAAAAUGGAAAGUAUAGUGGCUGAGGAGAGAAGCUGUUCUUCCCUAGAGGAAAGAACAGAACUCUCUAGCAGUGGAUCUAGAGAAAAGGGAAUAAAAUUAGUUAAGAAGCAGGAAAGCAAAGAUAGAACAAAGGGCAAAGACAAAAAACCUGGACAUAUGAUCAAACCAUGGAAAGGCCCUUUACCUCAGAGAAAUUACCCUUUGAAAAUGUCACUAGGUGACAUCAGGGUAAAAGAUCUGCGUGAGGUGGCCCAUCCAUUGGAUAAGAGAAGUCUAGAUAUUUUUUUGGAGGAAGAAUCAAAAGUUAUGUAUGAGGAUAACUACAUAGGGGAGGCUGAUUCAGUGAAGUUAAGGAUGAACACAUUGGAGAAGAAGUGCUCAUCAAAGAAGACGAAGUUUGAAUUCAAAUUUCAAAAAGUUCCAAAGAUUAACUCAGGGAAAUCAAUAACCUGGGUGGGUAAAACUGGUUUCAUUCAUGUGGGACCACGUGCAGUUUUCCAAUAUACAAAUGGUUUAAGUCAGCUUCUUAAUAAUGGAGGGAAGCUCAAAAGGCAAGACAUUAAAUGUCUGCCCAAGAAUCAAGGUGGUGUUUGGGCUGCCUGGGGUAAAGGGGCGCCAGCCUCUGUGAUUAAUAGCAACUCAUCUGUGCAACAAGCACCCUUUGACAUUCUAACCACAGCUGUCGAGUGUCACAGAGAGAGAACAGAUUGUCAGGAGGAAGAGGAAGAAGGAAGAAUGUUGAGGAGAGGGUUUGGCACAAGAGGAAUAUCUGGAGCUAGGGGAGCACAUGACGGUCGGUUUAACCAGGACCGACUAGAAAUGGGAGCACAAAGAGAAGAUUCAGGAGGCGUCUGGCACUUUGGAGGAAAUCAGAGAAGACAGAUGGAAGCCAGAGCAGGUGGCAGGGAAGGGGCAGGAGAUGGGUAUGGAAGAAGAUUUAUAUCAAGAGAUGGGUCAGGCAAUGAGAGGAAUAGGGAAGGGCAACAACAAGGUUUUGGGAGCUAGAGAGGUCUACAGGGGCCAGGAGGAUCAAGGGUGGAUGUGAGGGUGGAGUCCCUGAGAGGCAGAGGGGGAUGGCGUAGGUGGCAGGAGCGUACACAAAGAGCAGAAGUGGUGAAGGAAGAGGAUAAAGGAAAGAAGGUGAUAACACGUGAUGGUGAACAGAAAGAAGGAUCGAGGGGGAAAGCUGGGAUGGAUUUCCAGAUGACAGUAGAUGGACUUGGAGAAGAAGAGAAAGGAGAUGACACCAAGUCAGGGAUCAAGUGCUCAAAAUGUGCAAAGAAAGGACAUGUGGCUGCCACGUGCACUAAUCCAGUUUACUGUGUUAUCUGUAACGGUGAUGACCACGUCAAUCACAAAUGUUUGCUGCUAAAGCAGUCUAGGCCAGUGGCACACGCGGUGGGAUACGCUGUCUAUGGGCUUGGUUUCUACCACAUUCCACAUCCACCGCUGUCUAGGAGUAAAAAAGAAUCCAAGAAGGCCCUAAUUAGGGUGGGAGGAGGGAAACUAACCAAGGAGAAGGUGGUUUCACAACUGCAAAGGUUGUACCCAGGAAAGUGGAAUUGGGAACUGGAAGACAAUGAAGAUAACACCUUCAUCACUACAUUUCCCUCAAAAUCUGAACUUCAAAGGGCAAUAGCUUUUGGAGGGGCUAAUGUUAGAGAAGAUGGAGUUCAGAUAGGUGUGAGGUUACAAUUUGAAACUUGGCAAGAGAAAGAAGAGGGAUUCCUUUUACCUAAAGUUUGGGUAAGAGUACAUGGGCUGAGAAAAUCUCUAAGGGAGUAUAUGAAUUUGUGGGCAAUAGGUUCAUUGUUGGGAUCUACCCAAACUGUGGAUAUGGAGAUGACUAGAAAAAAUGAAUUUGGAAGAAUAUGUGUGGCAGCCCUUAACCCCUUGCUUAUCCCCUCACAUUUAGAUGUGGUGAUAGGGGAUCACUACUUUGAACUAGAAUUUGAGGUGGAAAGGAAAGGGACUGAUGAGAAUGGAGAGGAAGCAAAUUUUGAUUGGAAGGGAGAUGCAGAAGGAGAGGAUGAGGGAGAGGGCAGUGAGGAUGGCUUAUUGCAGGAUGACCCAGAUAUGAUCAGGGAAAUAAAAAGAAGGAAAAAUGAUAGUGAGGUCAAGGAGAAGGAAGAUAGCAGUACAAAAUAUAGGCAGGAGGAGCAGGGAUGGACAGAUAAAGAAUCAUGGAAAGAUAAAGUUCAGAAGAUGAGUGAAAUGGAGUUUAAUCUGUUUCUUAAGGAAAAGGCAGAAGAAAUAAUGGAUAGAGCAGUGGACAAAACUUUGGAGGUUUUGAUAGAUCAGGUUAUGACUGACCAGAAUGAAAAUAAUGAGGGGGAGAGCAGCUGGGAGGAGGAAGAGGGAACAGAUGAACUGAAGAAGAGGGCUGCAAUUCCUGAGACAGUAAUGACGCCAACAAGGGUUAGUCCAAGGUUGGCUAACUCAGGAGAUGAGCAUAUUCUUGCUAAGACAGAGAAGAUGGCUGCUAGGAAAAAUCUGGAGCUCAAAGAAGGUAAUUAUGAAACUGAAGUCUCCUUUCAUUUUCCUUUAGAUAAUGUUAUCUGUAAUGUUAGUCAACUAGGGGUUAGGUUGGGAGAGAGUGAAAAAGAGAAGGAAAGGGUAGUACAAGAAAUUCUCACAGUACAAAAGAGAGACAUAGAUCUGCCUGUAGAGGUAGAUAAUCAAGAUGAGAGUAAUCUGUACAGUGACAUGGAGGAGGAGAGGGAAGAAAUAGAAAGUAGUCAAAUUCAGAACCUUUGUGGGGAACUUUUGGAAGAGGUUUUUGACGAUGAUUUUAGUUACAUGGAUUUUUACUCUAAGAUGGGUAAUCACAAGUCUUGUGCUAAGUCACGAAAGAGAAAGACUUGUAAGGUCAGGCUACCCAAAGUCAAUAUCGAUAUGGUUUCCAAAUGAGAGGAAUCUUCUGGAACAGCAGAGGUCUUAGUGACUUGGCUAAAAAAAGAUUCCUUUUAGAAACAUCUAAAGAACAGAACUUAGCUUUCAUUGCUCUACUAGAAACAGGAAAAAGAGACUUUACCUAAGCCACUCUAAGUAAUUUGUGUGGGGGAAAAACUUUAUCUGGCAUUGGACUGAACCACAUGGAAGAUCAGGGGGUAUCCUCCUAGGUGUGGAUCUAGAUGAGUUAGACAUUGGUAGUAUUGAUGAAGGAGACUUUUAUGUGAAGUUCAAAGUAAGGACAAGAAAAGAUAAUUUCCAGUUUGUGUUGGUGGCUGUUUAUGGAGCAGCACAACCAGCUUUUAAAGAAGCUUUCUUGACCGAAAUGGUGCAGGCCUAUAGAAAAGAGAACCUUCCUAUUGUCCUUGGGGGAGAUUUUAACAUCAUAAGAAACCCAAGUGAAAAGAACAAUGAAAGGUACGAAGACAAAUGGCCCUUUCUUUUUAACGCUAUCAUAGAUAGCUUAAAUUCAAAGGAGAUACAUAUGUCAGGAAGAAAGUACACUUGGGCUAGUUCCUUAAAAAAUCCAACAUAUGAGAAAUUGGAUAGGGUGUUGGUUAGUACAGAGUGGGAAGAGAAAUUUCCUUUAGCUACGGUUGAUGCAUUGAGCAGGGAAAUCUCAGAUCAUACACCCUUAUUGCUUAGUACUGGACAGGAAGGGGUGAGAAGGAACCAACACAUGUUUAAGUUUGAACUGAGCUGGCUUUUGAGGAAAGAUUUCCUUGAGAUAGUAGCUGAUGUGUGGAGUAAGGAAAGAAAAGGUUCCAAUCCUAUACAGAAAUGGCAAAAUAAGAUUAGGAGGUUAAGGCAAUUUCUGAGAGGAUGGGCUAAAAACCUAAACGGGAAGUAUAAAAAAGAAAAACAGGAGCUACUUAAAAGGGCAAAUGAGCUAGAUAAAAAGGCUGAAUCACAGCUGCUAAGUCAGCAAGAAAGUGAUUUAAAGAAUUGCAUUCAAGAUACACUAGUUCAGCUCCUGAGAGAAGAAGAAAUAAGAUGGUAUCAAAGGGCAAAAAGCAAUAAGCUACUGAAUGGAGAUAACAACACAAAAUAUUUUCAUAUGGUAGCCAAUGGCAAACACAGGAAAACAAGAAUCUUUAGACUGGAACAGGAUGAGGGCAUUAUAGAAGGGGAUGAUAAUCUUAAAAAUUACAUAACUAAAUAUUAUAAAGAACUAUUUGGAUCUCAAUCAAGGAACAUUUGUUCUAUGAACGAAUCCUUGACAGAGGAUAUCCCUCAAGUAUCAAGAGAAGAAAAUGAAAUCUUGACUGAAAAAUUCACAGAAAAGGAGGUCAGAGAAGCUAUCUUUCAAAUGAAGCAUAACAAAGCUCCGGAAUCCGAUGGAUUCCCAGUGGAGUUUUACCAAGUAUUCUGGAGUCUCAUUAAAGAUGAUCUAAUGGCCAUGUUUGAAGACUUCCACAAAGGUAAUCUACCACUAUAUUGUUUAAACUUUGGGAUAAUAACUCUAAUCCCAAAACUCCAGGAAGUGAAAAUGAUCCAACAGUAUAGACCAAUAUGUAUGUUAAAUGUCAGUUUCAAAAUCUUCACAAAAGUGAUGGCCAAUAGGUUUUCUCUGGUGGCUGAAAAAGUCAUCAGGCCAUCACAGACUGCUUUUAUGCCUGGGAGGUACAUAAUGGAAGGGGUAGUAGUACUUCAUGAAACUAUACAUAAGUUAAGCAGGAAAAAGCAAGAUGGAAUCAUUCUCAAAUUGGACUUUGAGAAAGCCUAUGAUAAGGUUAAUUGGUCUUUUCUUCAACAGGCAUUAAGAAUGAAAGGCUUCUCCUCAAAAUGGUGUGAGUGGAUAGAAAGUAUAGUCAGUAAGGGAAGUGUGGGGGUAAAGGUAAAUGAUGAUAUUGGACAUUUCUUCCAGACAAAAAAAGGUCUUAGACAGGGUGAUCCCUUAUCGCCAAUGCUAUUUAAUAUAGCAGCAGACAUGUUGGCUGUUCUUAUUGCUAGAGCAAAACAUAGCAACCAAAUAAAGGGCCUAGUGCCACAUCUCGUAGAUGAAGGAUUAUCUAUCCUCCAGUACGCAGAUGACACAAUAAUCUUCAUGGAAAAUGAUUUAGAGCAGGCAAGAAACUUGAAAUUGGUGCUAAGUACCUUUGAAAAACUUUCAGGCCUCAAAAUCAAUUUCCAUAAGAGUGAAUUGUAUUGUUUUGGGGAGGCAAAAAACCAAGUUAAGGUUUAUGUAGAGAUAUUUGGGUGCAAGGAAGGAACACUACCAUUUAGAUAUCUUGGAAUUCCAAUGAUGCAUCGCAGAAUUGCAAAAAAGGAUUGGAAAAUGACUGAAGAAAGGUUCCAGAAAAAAUUAGCAAGCUGGAAGGGCAAAUUAAUGUCAGUGGGAGGCAGGUUAGUACUGAUAAAUUCUGUCCUCUCAAGUUUACCAAUAUUUAUGAUGUCCUUUUUUAGAAUACCUAAAGGUGUUCUUAAAAGAUUGGAUUAUUAUAGAUCUAGAUUCUUCUGGCAAAGUGAUGAACACAAAAAGAAAUUUAGGUUGACCAAAUGGAGUAUCCUUUGUGCACCUAAGAAUGUAGGAGGUUUGGGUAUCUCCAAUGUGGAGGUUCUAAAUAGGUGCUUGCUAAGCAAGUGGUUUUUUAAACUUCUAAAUGAGGAGGGAGUAUGGCAAACUUUGCUUAGAAAGAAAUAUUUGGUGAACAAGACUCUAACUCAAGUGACAAGGAAAAGGGGAGAUUCACACUUCUGGGCGGGCCUCAUGGAAAUAAAGGAUCAGUUCCUAUCAAUGGGAACAUUUGAGGUGCACAAUGGAGAAAAAACUAGGUUCUGGGAAGACGUUUGGAUGGGAAAGACAACUUUGAGGGAAAGAUAUGCAUCCCUGUAUAAUAUAGUGAGAAGGAAAGAUGACACCGUAGCCAAAGUACGUGGAUCUGCCCCUCUAAAUGUUUCUUUCAGAAGAGCAUUAACAGGGCACAGAUUGGAAGAAUGGCUAAAAUUAGUGGCUGAUAUUAUAAGUCAUGCUACAGACAGGCAGGAAGACAGAUUUAUUUGGAAUAUGAAUAAAAACAAAGUUUUCUCAGUGAAGUCAAUGUACAGAGAAAUAAUGCAAGCUGAAAGAACACCAUCCAUGUGUGUUGCUUGGAAGUUAAAACUUCCAUUAAAAAUAAAGAUCUUUUUAUGGUAUUUAAAGAAAGGGGUGAUUUUAACAAAGGACAACCUCACUAAAAGGAGAUGGCAGGGAAGUACCAAUUGUUGCUUCUGCAGAUCAAAAGAGACAGUGCAACAUCUCUUCUUUGAUUGUAAUCUUGCCAGAUUCAUAUGGAGUACGGUUUUCUUUUCGUUUGGAAUUCAACCACCGACGAGUGUUCCUUAUGCUGGGAUCUUGGGCUAGAGGGUUUCCUCGGAAGAUUAGAAACCAGAUGAUUAUAGGAGCUGGUGCUCUUUGUUGGGCCAUGUGGUUGAACAGAAACGAUGUACUGUUCAAAGGCACGAUCACUAAUUCCUUCUUGCAGGUAAUCUUCAGAGGGACCUAUUGGACAAGAACAUGGGCGGUGCUAUCAAUGGAGGAAGAGAAAAAUGAAAUGAAGAACAACUGUAGCAGGCUCGAAGGCACUGCCUUGGAAUUCUUCUCCAAUAAGUAUGGCUGGAACUUCAGACGAAGAAUACUUCAGUAACAGGAUUUCAUCUAGGCACCGGAGAAGAUCUUAGAGUCCUAUCUAGUGCUUAGGAGUCGUGUUAGUGUUCCUGUCUUUGGAGUGAACUGUGAGUCUUCAAGGGUAGUACUGCUAGAACAGCCUAAGUGUUGAGUUUCUGUAUUUGUGGUGUUAGUUUGGCUGCAGGCAUCCACUCGUGGAUGACCGAGGCCGGAUUCUUUCCUUUAUCUAAAAAAAAAAGAACUGAGGCGUUCAUUGCGUCGGUCCGACUGGCACUACAAGCUCCCCUUGCUGCGGGGCCCCCUAAGCCCACCGCUCCUCCUCCGGCACAGACGCCAAGACGGAGUACAAGGCUGGCAACUAACGCGCUAAACUCUGCGAUCCGUCCAUCCAAGAAGGGGGAACUUCUGACCAUGAAAAAACUCGGCAUCUUAACCCAAGAGCACCAAACUACCUCAGCAGCUGACAAAGAUUUCAACAAAUUCUUGACCACGACAAUGAAGCCGUGCCAUUUUGCGGCAUUCAGGGACAUCUUCCCGGCGGCCAAUAACCUCUCGAUUGGGAAAUGAAGUUCCCUUUUGCCUUCCUUCAGACGCUCUCCUCUGAUAUUUCAGACCAUUGCCCCCUACUGCUAACCACCAACUCAAACUUUUCGGUCAAAAGACGCUUCCAUUUUUAGAUUUGGUGGCUCAAGUUGCCUGGCUACUUGGAAACUGUCGCACAGGGUUGGGUGUGCCCAUCGCACAUCUCUGAUCCUUUCACAAAACUUGACAUGAAGCUUAAAAACACUGCUAGAAAGCUUCAGAGCUGGAGGGGAAUGCAAACACAAGACUUUUCCAUUUGCAAUGUGGCCACAGGGCCAAAAAGAAAUUUAUUGCAAGGCUUGAGCAUGAGGGAGGUGUGGCAAUCUCACAUGAGGAAAAAGAGCAGGUUUUGUUCAGCCACUUGUCUGCUAUUUUGGGCACUGCUAUGCAAAGAGUUGAGAUAGUGAAUUUAUCUGUGUUGGGUUUCACGGCGAGAAACUAAAGCCACCUGGAGGUUCCUUUCAUCGAAGAGGAAAUUUGGAAUGCAAUCUGGAAUCUUCCAAAUGAAAAAGUGCCCGGCCCAGAUGGCUUCAUCGCUGAGUUCUAUAAGACAGCCUGGUCAAUCAUCAAAACUGAUGUGCUGGCGGCCUUUGAUGCAUUCUAUAGGAACAUAGUGGCACAACUGCAUAAACUCAAUGGAGCCUUGAUCACCUUAUUGCCCAAGAGGCAGGAUGCCAAAAUACGAGGAGAUUAUAGACCAAUCAGUCUCAUCCACAGUUUCGGGAAGCUCCUGGCAAAGCUGUUAUCAAACAGAUUAGCACCUGAACUCAGCGCUUUGAUAGAUGUCAACCAGAGUGCUUUCAUUAAGCAGAGAUCUAUCCAUGACAAUUUUAAAUUCGUUGAAUAGGCUGCUAGAACCUUACAUAGGAAAAAGAAGCCUACACUACUGAUCAAACUUGAUAUCUCCAAAGCCUUUGACAGUGUCUGCUGGCCUUUCCUGUUGCAGCUGUUGCAAGCCAUGGGGUUUGGUUUAAAGUGGAGAAAUUGGAUGGCAACCCUGGUUUCCUCAGGUACAACAAGAAUAUUGCUCAAUGGUUCUCCAGGGCCGGUGAUUCAUAAUGCAAGAGGCUUAAGACAAGGGGAUCCCUUGUCCCCAAUGCUCUUCAUUCUCACAAUUGAGGUGCUCCACAGGCUCCUGAGGAAAGCAGUGCAGAAUGGUGUCCUCAAACCUCCGACUGAUUCUGCAAUACAUCAUCAGUGCUCCAUUUAUGCGGAUGAUGUAGUGUUGUUUGCUGCCCCUGAGGUUCAGGACAUCACAACCAUAAGAGAAACUCUUAAUUUCUUCGGCAGCACAUCAGGUUUACACACCAACCUGCACAAGAGCUUAAUAGCUCCCAUAGCUUGCAAUGCUGAGCAAGUUCAGAACAUCCAGGGCAUCUUGCCAGCUCAGAUCGCUGUGUUCCCCAUCCAAUACUUAGGAUUGCCCCUAUCAGUUACCAGGCUCAAGAAGUCGCACUUUCAGUCCUUAAUUGACAAAGUUGCAGCAAGUAUUCCGACAUGGAAGGCUCCGUUGAUGAACAAAGCAGGCAGGCUCACCACUGUAAAAGCAGUUAUGAGUGGAACUGUUGGAAUAAAGUGGCUAAAAAACAUUCCAGAUUUUAUUUGGAGGAAAAACACAUAGAUGAAAAUUAACGCAAGCAUACAACACAUGUAAACAGUCAGCAUAUUGACUAGAACAAGGUGUUGCAGGGACAUUACUCAAUAAUUCCGCAUAGAACGUAGUCGAACGUGUUGUAGGUGUUGCAGAGUCACCAAGCGGUCGCGUGUAGAUGCUGCCCAAAAACCUAAUUGUCGCCCCGUGCAGGAGUCUCGCGGCAGUGGUUUCGGAGAUCCCGUGCAGGACGUCUCCUGGUGUUAUAGACUCAAUACAACAUAAGUUUCCCCCAUCAAACAGCCUCAUAAAUUAGUAGUCACAAGUCACAAGUCACGCGAUUUUUCACGCAAAAAUGUGCGUGCGUGUAGCAACAGGCUCCUCUCUCUCUCACUUGCACCUUUUUUGCAUAAAGAGAAGACCCCCAUAUUUAAGCAAAGUAACCUCUCCUUGAAUUAACAAUAUGGGACUAAAGGUUGUGCAUGCUUUGGAAUUUUCAGAUUAGGCCAUGUAUGGGCCAAAAUCCAACAGGAACAUCAAAGGAGAGUAUUCAGCGAAAUCGGCAUAUCGUUUCUUCUUCAGAACUGCCGUCAGAUGCAGUCAGAUUCGCUGCAGCUAAGCUGAUUUGGAAAGUAUGGGUUCCUCUCAAAAUUAAGUUCUUCAUGUGGUUGGCUAUCAAGAACAGGUUGUGGACGGCAGCGAGGAGGCAAAAACGUGGACUGCAAGACCAGGCUGAUUGUGUGCUUUGUGAUCAAGAGUUAGAGACGGCAAAUCACCUGCUAUCCAGAUGCUCCUACACUCUCCAGGUGUGGCAACAUAUCAGCGCUUCAAUGAACUUGCUGAAUAUUGCUCCAACACAAAAUCAGUCCCUCCUUGACUGGUGGCUGCAAAAAAGGGAAGGAUUCAAUGCCUGCAACCGAGCGUUCGGCCGCUCGCAGGCAGAGUGUGGAGCGCCUAGUCUAGGAGAUCACAACUGAAGGGGACCUCUAGUGCGCGGCAGGCGCCAAACACCUGGCAGCACUUGGCUGGCCAGGGACAGCAGGGUUGCCUAUCUCAUAGAGGAUCUACUCUUCUCUAUCCAUUCGUUGUAAGAGUUUCAUGUAAUAGCUGUUAAUGUAAGCUUAAACCGUAUGCGUGCACCCGGCAGGCCAUGUUGUAUGUCUUUUUUCUGCUUAAUACAAAGAUUCGCAGCUCUCCUGCGUGUUCACGAAAAAAAUGAAUACAUACUUGUAUGAGCAUUGCAUUGUAAAAUGUACCAAAGUGCAGUCACUGCCUUCUUCUCACAAACAAACAAUACUCGAUAAACACAUAAAGUCAUUCGCUCAUGAUGCUGUUCAACAAAAAACAAAGCUUUGAACACAUUCAUACAAGGUAAAGUCGAACAAACCAAACCACUUAGAAAACAUGAUAAAAUCCAGAAUUGGACCGAACUAAUUGCUGACAUGACUUGAUAGUAGAUGACAUAAAUAUGGAUGAGGAUGUGUUGACACUUUUUUGAGCCAACACACGAACGCACACGAUCGUGCGGUGCACGGAGGGGCUCGCGGCAGCACCUCGACGCAGGCCGGUCUAACCGGUUAUAGGGAUUGGUCUGACCGGUUGUUGGGUAGGUCGACGGUAGACCUUCGAACGUUCACCCGGGAAGGAUCCCGUCGGGGGCAGGCGCAUACAGGGUUGCUCUAGGAUCGGCAGGCCACCUAGAGCGCCUUCAAACCUCGUCGAGACGAAGGAAGAACAGCAAGUGGUAGAUUGGAAAAGCUAGGGCAAAAGAAUAAAGGAAAAAAAAUGAUAAAUAAUAGAUUGGUUUAUGUCGACUAGGUUGGAUGUCCUCAACCGGUCGAAUCCCUUUAUAUUUAUAGGGAGGGAAGGUCUUCCCCACGUAGAAGUCGAAAUCCUAAUACAAAUCGUGCCAAAUUACAACUCCUACUCGGAUUACAUAGAGCCAGACUGGUCAGACCGGCCUGGGCAACCGGUCUGACUGGUCUGCUCGGGUGCAGAUUUUGCCAAGAUCGUAUCUCCCUCAUCCGAACUCCAAAUCGGACGUUUUAUAUAUGAAUCUUGAUCUACUCGACAAGAUCUACACAAUGGUAGAGUCCAAUCUUCAUUUGGAGUACUUUGAUCCAACCAGUCUGACUGAUGGGUCAACCGGUCUGACUUGUCUGCACAGGGUGCUGAUUUUUUCGAGGGCAUAACUCUCUCAUCCGAAGUCCAAAUCGGACGUUCCAUAUAUGCAUUUUGAUCGUCUCGAUGACAGCUACACCAUGGUGAAGUAAAAUUUGCAUUUUGAGAACAUUCACCAAACCGGUCUGACCGGUUGGAAGACCGGUCUGAACAGGCCUGACCAGAUUUUCCAAGUCCUACCACUUUUGGGCUCCAACAGGAUGUGUCUACAGUAAUUUAAUAAUACUAACAACUAGAAUCAAAGGAUACAUAUCAACUGCAAAAUCAUAAGCAAGGCACACUCUAUGUUUCCAUUUGGGCUUAUUCUAUAGCAAAUCUAUGUAAACUACUUAAGUAUUCACAGCAGGCUGAGUAGCAGGGUCCAGCUUUCUCUGCUCCUAAAUUUUCCUGAGCUUAAUACCCUUACCCUUGGGGAGACUCACCCAUGGUUUGUUCCCCUUGCCAAUUGUGAGCACAUUGCCCAAAUAGGUGGCAAAGGCAUGUGUUAGAAUGUGUGUAAUUGGGCCCAGCCCGGCUAGGCCCAUGCGCAUGGCUCCCCCUGACAGGCGCUUGUUGCGCCAGAUCAGGAGCCAGCCACCAGGGCUUUCUUGUCCCUUGCCUAUAUAUGUGUACGCUAUGCACCUCCAUAAUCAAUCUACAAUUUCCUAGCCAUAUUUGCUUUCAUGGUAUCACGAGUCCGGGUUCCUACCCCGAUUUAGCUUCCGCUUUUCUAGCACAUGCCGUCACUAUGGCUGGCUCCACGUACCCUGUCGCUGAUCCAGUCGCUACAUCGCCCACGGCAGAGGAGCAACACCUCGCCGAGGAGGCCUAGCGGCAGGCUGCCCGCACUGCCACCCUCGCCCACGCUGUCCAGGCUGGGCAGCUGGCGGCUACCGCGGCUCAGGAACGCGACGCCGCUGAUGCCCACCUCCGCGACGCCCUGGCCCUUGCUGUCGAGGAGCGCGCUGCCGCUAAGGCCGCUGAUCCACCACCCAGCAUUCACCCUGACAACGAUGACGAUGACCACAAGAAUCAUGUCGUCCCCUUUGUCCACGACGCCAUGCUGCUCCACGAGGUCGCCGCCGUCCUGAACCUGCACGCCCAGCCUGUUGCACUUUAGAACAUCUGCAGCCUCAUCCCGAUCAUCCUCGACGUCGCCUCCACCAACUACGCCCGCUGGCGCGAGCAAUUUCUGCUCACCGUCGAGAAGUUCUCCCUCGACGCCCACGUGCUUCAGGACAGUCCUCUCCCCGGUCACCCUGACUAGGCGCGGAUGGAUUGCGUCGUUCGGUCUUGGAUCUACGGCACCCUCUCCAACGACCUCACCGACACCGUGAUGACGCCUGGCGCCACUACCCGCUCCGUCUAGCUUGCCGUCGAGUCUCAGUUCCUCGGCAACCACGACACACGCGCCCUCCUCCUUGAUGCCCAGUUUUGCACCUUCGUCUAGGGUGAUCUAUCCAUCACUGACUACUGCCGCCGUCUGAAGGCCAUGGCUGAUGCCGGCGAGCUCGGUGAGCCUGUCACUUACCGAUCCCUCAUCCUCAACGUCAUCCGCGGCCUCAACUCCAAGUACGCCACCAUCGGUCUUCACCUUCGUCGUGCUCGCCCGUUCUCAAUGUUCCUGGAGGCUCGGAAUGAUCUGCUGCUCGAGGAACUCACCUUCACGUAGCCGUCCUCGGAGCCCUCCACCGCUCUUCUCGCUGCUACCCCGAGCGCCUCCACAUCAGCCCGGCCGCCCCAGGCCUCGCAGUAGCCCCAUUCUGGGGGUGGCUCCUCCAAGACUCGUCACAACAAACGUAACUCCGGUAGCUGCAACUCCAAGGGUGGCAACUCCGGCAGCGGUAGUAACAGCGUCGGUGUCAGCCAACGCCCCUCCAGCGGCACCAAGCAGGGCGCCCCCCAGGGCCCCUCCAACGUCACUCCCUAGCUCUCCUUCCAGAACCCGUGGACUGGGGCCAUCCAGAUGUGGCCCGGUACAUGCGCUCCGCAGCCCGGGGCACCCCACGCCAUGCUGGCCCAGUUCUCCAUGCCACGCUAGCCCAGCAGGCGCAGCUCCAGGCACUCCAGGUAGCCCAGUUCCAGGCUGCCCAGCUGUAGGCUGCCCAAUUGCAGGCGGCCCAGGCGCAGGCUCAGGCAUACUAGGCCGCCUAGGCAUAGGCUCUACAGCAGGUGCCGUACCAGCUCUCCAUCGCCGGCACCGCCACCAGCACACCAUCGUGGGAUUAGCAAUCCCUCGCCUCCACCUUCAACACUAUGACGCUAAACCAGCCGCAGCAGCACAAGUGGUACUUCGAUUCAGGUGCUACCUCCCACAUGACCUCCGAUGCUCAUUCCUUCUCGCAUAAUUUCACCCAGCGGUACCCUUUUCCAUCAGCUAUUGUUGUCGGUGACAGUUCUUUACUUCUUGUCACCUCCACUAGCGCAGAUGUUCAUCCGGGUCCUUAACAUCUUAAUAAUGUUCUUGUUUUACCCAACCUUAUUAAGAAUCUUAUUUCCAUUCGCCAAUUUACCAUCGAUAACAAUUGCUCAGUUGAAUUUGAUUUGUCUGGUUGUUCUGUGAAGGAUCUUCGAUCCAGGAAUGUGAUUGUCAGGUGCAAUAGUUCGGGUCCGCUAUACCCCCUGCACCUCCCUGCUGCUGCUACUCUUACUGCUGGCGUCACCUCCACGGUCUGGCACCAUCGUCUCGGCCAUCCUAGGCAGGAAGCCCUCGCCCGUCUUGCGCUAAUUUUACCUUCAUGUAAUAAAGACAUUAGCUCAUCUCUCUGCCAUGCAUGUCAGCUCGAACUACACACUCGUCUUCCCUUUCGAGUGUCCUCCUCUUGAGCUUCCAGGAAUUUUGAUCUUAUUCAUUGUGAUCUCUGGACAUCACCUAUUCCUAGCAUCUCAGGUUUUAAAUAUUAUUUAAUUGUUCUCAAUGCUUGCUCUCACUUUUCUAGAACUUUUCCUCUAAGGCUGAAAUCUGACACAUUUGAUACUCUUGCUAAUUUCUUUUCCUACGUGCUUACACAGUUCGGCGCCACCAUUAAGGUCGUCCAGUGCGAGAACGGUCAUGAGUUUGACAACUCUAGCGCUCGCACGUUCUUCCUCUCCCGUGGCGUCCACUUCUGGUGGUAUGCUCUGAUGCUGAUUGGGCGGGCUAUCCUGACACACGCAAAUCCACUUCCGGUUAUGUGGUCUUCCUCGGCGACAACCUGAUCUCUUGGUCCUCAAAGCGUCAGCCCACCGUCUCGCCAAAGCUGAGUACCGUGUUGUGGCCAAUGCCGUCGCCGAAGCUACCUGGCUAUGCCAGCUACUUCAAGAGCUCCAUGCCCCCACUUCACCGCACCUCCUUGGUCUAUUGCGACAACAUCAACGCGGUCUACAUGUCCUCCAAUCUGGUUCAGCAUCAGCACACCAAACAUAUCGAGAUCGAUCUUCACUUCAUUCAGGAGCGCGUCGCUGUGGGUGACGUUCGUGUACUACAUGUUCCCACAUCGUCCUAAUACGCCGAUGUCUUCACCAAGGGGUUGUCGUCUUCUAUUUUUACAGAAUUUAGGUCCAGUCUAAACAUUCGUGGCACCAGCGAUUAGACUGCAGGGGCGUGUUAGAAUGUGUGUAAUUGGACCCUAGCCCGGCUAGGCCCAUGCGCAUGGCUCCCCCUGAUAGGCGCCUAUUGUGCCAGAUCAAGAGCUAGCCGCCAGGGUUUUCUCGUAGAAUAGGUAAGGCUCCUAACCCUAGGACCCUUGUCUAUAUAUGUGUACGUGCUAUGCACCUCCGUAAUCAAUCUAUAAUUUCCUAGUCAUAUUUGCUUUCAGCAAGACCAAGGCAUCCUCCACAUGGAGGAUCUCAUAAUUGCCCUUGUGCUUCUCCCUAUUCUUUUAUUAUAGCAACCUGACCAGUCUAGUGACCGUGACAACAUUACCCACAUCAAACUUGAUGAAAUCAACAAUCUUACCUGUCUCCGGAUCAAUUUUGAUUGUGUCAUUCACUCAUUUGCCUUUGGCCUGUUUAUUUCUGCAGGACCGUGCAGUGUGGCAGCAGGGAUGACGCCCGGGUGCGCGGAGCCCCGGUGGUGGGAUCGACGACAAGGGUGCGCGUGCGGGGCGGUCGCCCCGACCUGGUGCUGGUGGCUGCCUGUGCAUCACCGACACUUGGUGGCUCUACAUCCAGGUGGCUUUGCGUUUCGUGCGGCUGUACAAUUCUAUAAAUACAAAAGUCUCUCUACAUGUACAAUUUGAUCACUACACAAAAUAUCUCUACACUACCUGAUCACUACAAUACACCGAAGCGACAACACCUAUCGUUCUGGUAGGUGAAGUUGCAACCAAGUGUUAGGUGAAGAUAGAAUAAUUAGCUGAAAAAAAAUCAGUUUUACAACAGGCAUCAAAGGGGAAGAGCAAUAUCAUUUCAGUCAAUAGUAUAAACAAUAUGCUUUACAAUAAGUAUUUUAUAAUACAGGUAAUCUAAUAAAAUCAAGUUUGUGUUCAAAAAAUAUAUAUAGUCGACUUGUCCAUCCGUAUCUCCAUGUUAUCUUGUUAGUUGGCUCUGAACGUCCAAAAAGAAUGCCAAUUGGUGAGCUGCUGAGGUCAAUUAUAACAUGCUAGACCUAUUGGUACGUCAAUAAAAUCACUAAACUGCUUUGACUAGGUAAAAGGGGUUAAUUUGUCUGGUUUUAAGAGAUGUUAGAUGUGUGUUGUCUAGUAUUCGAGCUCAAGAUUUUUCUUACUCUUCCCUUCCUUCCUCCUUCAAACCUCUCAUCCGAGCCCAAUCUCUCGCAUGGAGCCCGACUCCUCUUAGACCUCCUUUGGAAUAUAGGAUACAUGUAGAAAUUUUGUAGGAUUUGAAUUCUAUAGGAAUUUUUCUCAUGUGUCCCUUUGGAACAAAGGAUUGGCUAACCUUUUAAUCCUUCAAAAUUCAUAUGGAAUGGUUUAAUCCAUAGGAAUUUUGGAGAAAAUCUAACAUGAGGUCUAACCUCUUGGAAACUCUUCUUUGUGUCUAUCUCUCUUCUCGUUUCUUUGUUUUUCCUACGUUGCAUCCAAACACACAAUUACAAAUUUUUCUACAUUAUCAAUUUUUAUAGGAUUGCAAAUAUCACGUAACUCCGUUCCUACGUUUUUCCUAUUCCCACGUUUGGAGAUUCCUUUUUAAAGAUGUCCUUAGCUUUCUAUUUUAGGCCUUGUUUAGUUCCCAAUUUAGGAGUGGCAAAAUUGGCAUUUUGCCAUAAAUGCGCAAUGUAGUAUUUUGUUUGUAUUUGUGAAUUAUUAUCCAAACAUUGGCUAAUUAGGCUCAAAAGAUUCGUCUCGCAAAGUACAAUAAAAAUGUGCAAUUAGUUUUUGAUUUUAUCUAUAUUUAGUACUCCAUACAUGUACCGCAAGUUUGAUGUGAUGGGGAAUCUUUUUUUACAUAGUGUUAAAGUUGGGAUUUUGGAGGGAAGUAAAGAAGGGCUUAUUUGUUAUAUGAUUGAUCGUAUGUGACAGUGACCGUGCAACACCUGCAACGUUGAGGUACGUGACAAGGCCACACAUGCAUAUGCCAGCUCAUUGGCUCGCCCUAAUCAGGCACUACCGUCCACAGAAGUCUGAACAACGGGCGUGAACCAGGCUGUACCCUCGUGGUCAUUGUAGAAUGCACAUGGAAAGCCGUGAUGAUAUUAUUUUCUAUUAAAGCCGUAAUGAUCAGGGCUUUCGAUGAUAUUACUCAAAUUUAAAGCCGUAAUGAUGCUGUCGACGAUACUACCGUCCACAGAAGUGGCGCCGGAAGUCCUCGCACGCUGACAACGCAACACUGUUGUUAGUACUGCCAUGGGACCUACUAGUGACAAGGCAGCACAUGCAUGUAGACCCGCUGUUGUUGACGGCUCUCCCUCAGCAAGGACGCUGGGAGCAAUAAUGAGGCCACAUCUGCUUCAUCAUGAUCCUUCGCCGAUUAUUGUUUCAGUCCUUUUGCUUCGCUGUACCUAUAGACCAGUAAUGCUGGACUGAAUCAUGAUUUGAGACCUAAUCCCUUCGUUAAUCUUCUGUAAAGCAGCACAUGUGUAAAGCCUACACGACGAUGUUUUUUCCCCCUCCUGUUUCGCUUUCGCCAUUUGACGAGAUCAACGAAAUUCAUCCGCAACAUCCAUGCAUGAUGAUGAAAUUUGGAGCCUUCUUGACAUGACUUCACCUCCAACUCCCAACUUUGGCACUAUGCAAAAAGAAGAUUCCUCAUCACAUCAAACUUGCGAUACAUGCAUGGAGUACUAAAUGUAGAUGAAAUUAAAAACUAAUUGCACAGUUUUGUUACUUUGCGAGACGAAUCUAUUGAGCCUAAUUAGUCAAUGUUUGACAAUAAUUCAUAAAUACAAACGAAACGCUACAGUAUGCUACAGUGCCAGCACAGUAAUUUAGCACCUCCCAAUUUGGCCAACUAAACAAGGAUUGUGACUCGUGCAGCUGGUACAGAGAGUGACUGAUUCCUGCAUUCUAUUAUUGCCUCUUGAAUAUUCCGUGGCUGUUCAACUGUGUUGUGACGGUGAACAUGAAAAUUGCUUUUUAUAUUUAUGUAUUUUCGUUUGCAAUUUGGGCUUUAUUGAGCUUUUCUAUUUGUUAUGUCCUCAAACUUAAAAUCUUUUUUUUUCUAACAGCGCACAUGAUAUAUCAAUGAUCUUACUGUCUUGCUUCGGAUUAGCAACCUGGUAAUCAUGAAUUAAUUAGACUUAAUAGAUUCGUCUCGCGAAUUAAUUAGCUGCAAUUGGCUUUGUAAUUAGUCUAAAUGUUUAAUACUCCUAAUUAGUAUCUAAACAUUCGAUGUGAUAGGAGCUAAAUUUUAGCUCGAGGAACCGAGCAAAUCCUGCAAUUUUGAAAAGGUGAGGCACUAGUUAAAUUUUAACACGUUAAUAAUUUUAUAAAAUAAAUUCAAGAGACCUUGUCGACGAAAUAAAAGUGGUAGGUACACCGUACACAUCAUUAUUGUCAAGUCAUCGGGCCCAUUUGUUUCGUUCACCAAGAGUCCAAUCGCUAUAAUUGGAGAGGAAGAAAUGGAAGAAUGUGACUCGACCAAUAGAUAAAUGGUAUCGCUUUUUCCCUGUGAGCGCAACCCAGGAAAUGCAAAAGGCUGCUCCAGAAUGCAGAACAUUUAUAUGGUCUUUGAACACACAUGGCUACCUGAACACUGUGCACCGGUAAACACGUUUGUUCAGUGAUCAAUCCAUCAUUAGCAUAACUAAACCAGGAUGUGACUAUUAAGUAGGAGUAUUACCUUAAGAUGUGAACAGAAACACUGCAGCUUCACAAGCACAGCCAACAGCAUCCACACCUGUCGUCAUCAGCUUAUAAAAAUAGCUUGGACUUGUCUAUCAUCUUCUGAUCCUUUGCUUAUUUUAUGGCUCCUGGUGUGAGCUGAGCACAAGUCUUCCAUGCUAGUCUUCUCCUUCUGCCAUUGCAAGUCUUGCAGAAACAUAUCCUCUUCUCCAUCUUCUCUUCCCGUACGCCGCCGGCCCCUCCGCUGCGACCGCUACUGCCCCGCCUCUGCUACUGCUGCUCUGUCAGCCUAGGCACCCAAGAAGGUCAGUGCUUGGCGGUUGUCUCCAUUUACCUCCAAAGCGCUUCCGCAGACCAUCCUCUUCUCCACUCCAAAGUGUCUUCUCAUUUCUCAGCGUGCGUUCUCGUGAGCUCUGACUGCUCCAAUGGCCGAGCUUGUGGGCAGCAUGGUGGUCGGGCCACUGCUGUCUCUGGUGAAGGAGAAGGCGUCCAGCUACCUCCUGGACCAGUACAAGGUCAUGGAGGGCAUGGAGGAGCAGCACAAGAAGCUCAAGGUCAUGCUGCCGGCCAUCCUGGAAAGGAUCACUGACGCAGAGAAGCAGGCAACCUCCAGAGAAGCAAUCAGACCCUGGCUUCAGGAGCUUAAGGUGGCGGCGUACGAGGCCAUCCAAGUCUUCGAUGAAUUCAACUAUGAGGCCCUCCGUCGUCAAGCCAAGAAAGAGGGGCGCUACAUCAAGCUCGGCAUGGAUGCAGUAAAACUCUUUCCCACUCACAACCGCAUCAUGUUCCAUUACAGGAUGGGCAACAAGCUUUGCAAGAUUGUGCGUGAUAUUGAUGCCCUUGUCAAGCAUAUGCACGACUUUGGGUUCGACAAACAGCCACAAGCGCAGGUUCAGAUAAAUUAUCUGCGUGAGAAUGACUCCACCAUGGUUGAUCCAGAGAUUGUCAGCAGAUCCAGAGAUGAAGAGAAGCAAAAGAUUGUUAGAAUGUUGGUCAAAGAACAAGCUAACAAUAAGGAUCCAAUGGUCGUUCCCAUUGUGGGGAUGGGUGGGUUGGGCAAGACCACCCUAGCUCAGCUCAUCUUUAAUGACCCUGAAGUGAAGAAGCAUUUCCACCAACUAAUGAAGUGGGUCUGCGUGUCAGAUGAUUUCGAUGUUUGUAACCUUGCCAACAAGAUCUGCAACGCUUCUGAGAGCAACCUGGAGAAUGCCUUGCAGAAGCUUCAGAGAGAACUCGCUGGAAAGAGGUACUUUUAGAAUUUAAUUUGAUGUUGAUUCACUCAUCUCAAACACGCACACUGGUUUUUUUUCCUCACACACGCUCAAAAUAUGUGCAUUACCCUUGAGAAUAACACGUAAUUGAAAGGAUAAGUAAAGCACAUGCAAACUACAUACACAAAAUUCAACUUCAAACUUAGAUCCGCAUACACUUUUAAUUGCUAGUGCUAGUGAACUUCGUACACUUGAAGAAACUAUGAAAAAUGUACACGCACACAUCAUGUCAAGUCGUACACAGAAGGCAACAUCCAACAUUUUUUUUAAUUAAGGAAAAACAUCCGAUCUUGAACAUUCACACGUGAAUAGAAAAUUUUAGGAUCAUUUGAUCAAAAAUUUUAAGUGAAUAGAUCUUCAAAAGGUUAGCAGGAAAAAAACAUUUCAUCUUUUUCUGCUCCCUCAACUCAUGCUAAGGAGCUGCAAAAGCUAACGACGCCUCUUGUUUUGAGGCCCCAGCAUUGAAAUCAAGAAGACAACAACGCCUCACCACUGGCAAGUUGCCCUCUAGAUAUGCACGGAACUUGCACAUCUCACAUACCAUUUACGCUUCCUCUGGUGGCAUUCACAUAACUUAAGAAAAAGACGUACACAAAUAGAAACGCACUAAUGACAUGAUUAUUUGUAACAGGUAUCUUCUUGUAUUGGACGACGUCUGGAAUAAGGAUGAUAACAAGUGGAACAAGCUGAAUGCUUGUCUUAAACAUGGUGAUGUUGGUAGCGCCAUACUAACGACAACCCGUGAUAAAGAAAUAGCUCAACUCAUGGGUAUAGAUAAAGAACAUGGCAUUGCACGUUUGGACAAUAAAUUCAUCAAGGAAAUUAUUGAGGCUAAAGCAUUCAUUUCGCAAGAGAGAAAACCAGCUGAUUUAGCUGGCUUGGUUGAUGACGUUGUUGAGAGAUGUGCAGGGUCUCCAUUGGCAGCGAAGGCACUAGGAUCUGUACUACGUGGCAAGACAACGGAAGAAUGGAAGGCUGUGCUUAGCAAAAGCAUCGCCCAUAACAAGGACGAUCAAAUCCUGCCUAUUCUCAAGCUCAGUUACGAUGACCUGCCAUCACACAUGAAGCAGUGCUUCGCUUUCUGUGCUGUGUUUCCCAAGGACCAUGAGAUUGACGUGGAAAUGCUGAUCCAACUAUGGAUGGCAAAUGACUUUAUUCCCGAACAAAAAGAUGCUCAUCAUGAAACAAUUGGUAAACAGAUUUUCAGUGAGCUGGUCUCAAAGUCAUUCUUUCAAGAUGUGAAGCAAGUCAAAGGGGAAAGAUAUGAUUCCGUGUAUUGGUAUUUCUCUACAAGUACAUGUAAAAUCCAUGAUCUUAUGCACGAUGUGGCACUUUCUGUCAUGGGCAAAGAAGUUGCUACCAUAACUGAGAAGCCAAAGCAGAGUGAUGAGUUUCUUCAGAACACUUGUCGUCAUAUAUUGUUAUCAUGUGAGAAGCCAGAGGCCGUUUUGAAUGAUUCUCUGAAUAUAAGGUCUCCAGCUAUGCAAACACUACUAUGUGGUCAGCGCAUAGGAAAUUCCCUGCAGCAUCUCGCAAAAUACAGCUCUCUGCGUGCAUUGGGACUUUGGCAGGAUAAGAGCACAAUCCUACUGAAACCAAAGCAGCUACAUCUCUUGAGGUAUCUUGAUAUCUCGGGUAGUGAUAUAGUGGCACUUCCGGAAGAUAUCAGCAUUUUGUACAAUCUGCAAACGCUGAAUGUUGCGCACUGUCGCAAACUUGGCCGGCUUCCAAAGGGAAUAAAGUACAUGACUGCCCUCCGUCACCUCUACACUCACGGAUGUAAGGAGUUGAAGCGCAUGCCACCAGAGGUUGGACAUCUCACUUCCCUGCAAACACUUACAAAUUUCGUAGUGGGUGCAGGCCCUGAUUGCAGUAGUAUUGCAGAGCUGCAGCAUUUAAACAACCUUGGUGGUCCACUACUGCUUAGUCAACUCGAAAAUGUGACAAAAGCAGCAGAUGCAAAACAGGCCAAUCUUGGAAAUAAAAAGGAGCUCAGGGCAUUGUCAUUAACGUGGACACGUAGUGAGGGGGAGAAACAACAUUGUCAUAAGGUGCUGGAGGGUCUGGAAGCUCCUCCUGGACUAGAGGCUCUGAGGUUAAAGUAUUACCAAGGAACCAGUUUCCCAACAUGGGUGGGUACGCGGCCAAAAAUGGUGGAGCUUCAUCUUUCUGACUGUAACAAGUCCAAUAAGCUUCCUCCACUUGAGAGUGUACCAGCUCUACAAGUUCUUCGUCUGGAAAGAUUGAAAAAGCUGGAAAGCUUGUGCAGUGGUGGUACAUUCUUUCACUUUCCUAAUCUGAAGGAGCUUACGCUGGAAGACCUGCCGGAAUUUGAUAGAUGGUGUGAAGUAAACUGGGUCCAAGGAGAACAGAUAAUGUUUCCUCAACUUGAGAAAUUGUUUAUUACAAAUUGUGGAAAGGUUACAGCAUUACCAGGGCCAGCACUUCUCGGAGGAUCGUGCUGUGGAGAUUACAAGGAGCAAGACGAGAGGAAGCUUUG
Molecule: long non-coding RNA, 30225 nt
Filed under: Setaria italica (foxtail millet)
Lineage: Eukaryota; Viridiplantae; Streptophyta; Magnoliopsida; Poales; Poaceae
Description: long non-coding RNA (SITA_LNC002655)
Source: RNAcentral